RNAcentral lists this ribosomal RNA (233 nucleotides) under uncultured bacterium. Its description in RNAcentral is "partial 16S ribosomal RNA". It matches the Rfam family "Bacterial small subunit ribosomal RNA", at positions 104 to 334 of the family's 1533-position model. The record is from RNAcentral.
CGGGGUGGAGUAACGCGUGGGUAACCUGCCUUAUACAGGGGGAUAACAGUCAGAAAUGGCUGCUAAUACCGCAUAAGCGCACAGAGCUGCAUGGCUCAGUGUGAAAAACUCCGGUGGUAUAAGAUGGACCCGCGUUGGAUUAGCUAGUUGGUGGGGUAACGGCCCACCAAGGCGACGAUCCAUAGCCGGCCUGAGAGGGUGAACGGCCACAUUGGGACUGAGACACGGCCCAG